CGAACUAUUCGAGCUUUCGCUCCGACUUCGAAACGGCGGCUAGCUAAUGGUGGCGUUUUAGGGUAGAGCGUUACGAGAAGGCGGCAGACAGAGCUCGUUGGGAGAACAGCACCUGUUGAUACUACAGUGCGUCCACGACGUAGAGCACAGAUUCAACGUCACCAACCUGUCGCACUGAUCGUCGUCAAUCUAAAUUUGCCGUUAAGAAGUGAGACCAUCGUGUCUAUGUGGGUUGUCACUGUUCUUUCGAGUCGGAAUUUCUUUCACGUUGAGUUUGGACUGCAAAGAUUGCUACGUUGCAUGAGGAAAUAGUGUGUGUGGGACAUCGACAUUUCGCAGUUAUCACAAAACAAUGGAAGUAAUUCAUGAAAGAUUUUUCGCUUACCAUGAAGACCUGAUAGCAAACGAGCCUGGGGUGGCUCAGUUAACAAGCAUCUUCACUGACUGAAGUCCUUUGUCAAAUUCGAAAAUCCUACUAAAAUGCGUUCUUUAGGUAGAUAAUGGCACGUUUGUGUGUAGCAAGCUCUUUUGGAAUAGCAGUCUUUGCUACAGAGUUUGGUCGUUUACGCCACAUUUUUACGGGGUUGUUUUAGCGGCUUCUUCAAACUCGGUACUAGAUAACUCAUAGGCUUUGAAAAUGCCGUCUUUUGCCAUAAAAAUUAUCUUUUUUUUGAGUCGGAAGUCAAGAUAAAUUUUGGUGAGCCGGACGAAACGGACCACAAUCGCCUUGUAGCGAAGCGAACUGAAAGAACCUUUUAAUGCUAGACUAGCAGUUAAUUCCGCUAAAAAAAAAAUAAAAAAUAAAAGCCGCUAUUCGUUUCCAAUGGAUAAACUGAUCCUUUUUAAUAUUACAGAAUGUGCAAUUCGCUUAUAAAUUCGAGAAAUACGUAGAAUUGUGACUGGGGCAAGAAAACUUGUUCGCCUGAGCAGCUGAAACCGCUCUAAUGACGUGAAAUAAAAGGGGGCCUCAUGAAAAAGAUCAAUCUAACAGAGCAAUUCUUUAUCGAAUACAGUCGCAGGCUCACAUUUAGUGGAAAGGUCAAACAACGGUAGGACAAACAAAGGUAGAGGAGAGCACACAUUAAUAAUCGUCCAAUGCUUCUACGUGAUAUUCCUCAGAGCUCUUUUUCCCACAGCGCUAUUCCUGAAUUGCCCUCUCUCCCACAAUGCGGAAAGUUGAUUUAAUGGAGAGAUUACUGAUACGUUGCGGUUCGGAGGAGUGGGGUGCGGGGAUAUGUCAACUCUAAUUACACUGGAUAAUCCGUCUAUGUUGAGAUUAAUCUCUAAUCGUUUAUUCUACAGACCUUUUUUGAAAUCUAUACCACUGAUUGAACUCGAGAAGAUAACAGAUUUGUCAGCAAGCCAUAGUUUUUUUUUUUGAAAUAAUUAUAAAAUUACUCUGCGAUUGGUUUGCAUAUGGAGCGAGGAAGCGUCUGAUCCUAACUUAGUUGGAUACACGUUAACUGAUGCGGUCUUGUAAUUGUAAAUUUGUUAAUAAAGUAAAUUACUGUGCUCUAAAAUCUACAAAUUAAGUGAGAAGCUAGAUAUGCUAGUCGUACCAGAUAAACUAUUAAUGAAUAUGGACGUUUUUCUAUGUGUUUUAGCUAUUGGUCGGCUGAGCUUGGCUGGACCAAAUGUAUAUGAACAUCCGUUAGGGGCAGUUGAAUUCAGUCACCAACCAAAACGAGUCUAUUUCGUAACGUUAUUCAACGUCAAUGCUAUCCAAGUUUCCUGGCAGCCCCGAAUUUAAUUAAGCAUAUCAUAUUAAUAAUGUUAUGUGCUACCGAUUC
RNAcentral lists this long non-coding RNA (1790 nucleotides) under Varroa destructor (honeybee mite). RNAcentral's name for it is "uncharacterized LOC111253516, transcript variant X2". Lineage: Eukaryota; Metazoa; Arthropoda; Arachnida; Mesostigmata; Varroidae. The record is from RNAcentral.